UAAAUCAAUUGCAUAAAUACACACGCAGAGAUAAGAGUAUUGCAAAUUUGCAAUUACGAUUGCUAAAAAAAAUAAAUAAAAAUAUACAUAAAUAUAUAUACAGAAUAAUAAUGUCUGCGUCGAUUGUGGAGCCUCACGACAAGAUGAGGGCUCGAGACGUUAACAAGGUGGCCAGGGGGGAGCAAGCCCCCCGCCCGCCCCAACAAUCGCCGCCGGUCUCCCGCCCGCCACCGCCUUCCUCCUCCGCCGCCACCGCCGAUCACUCCUCUGAUAAGGAAGAGAUUAAUUUCGAUCAUUCGACUCAAUCGAAGAAAGAUAACUCUUCCAAUCAGAAGCAACGAUGUUACGAUAGUUACUAUGAGUAUCAUAAGUGCAUCCAAGAAAAGGGAAAUGAAGCACAAGAAUGCAAGAAGGUUGCCGAGUACUACAAAUCGAUGUGUCCCGAUUGGAUUGGAAGUUGGAGAAUUGAGUGAAAGAGAGCAUAUAAUGACCUAGGAAGUAUACGAUAAAGUUCUAAUCGUAUACAAGAUGGUUUUUGCUCGCCUUUGAAUCUAAUUAUUGGCUAACGAAGAUGAGGUCUAGAAGUCGACGAUUCAACUUUUUACUUGAACACGUCAGCUCAAAUAAAACCAGAAGGUUAGAUCGUCUGGCAAGAUAGAUUAACGGCAACCAUUUGUUACAAAUAAUAAUAAUAAUAAUAAAGAAAAUAUCUGAAUCCUGUGGACAUAAUUGUGCAAUAUUAUCUGUCCUCGACAAGAACAAUUUAAGAAUUUUGUCGUGACCAUUGUACAAACCAUUGCUCAUCAUUGCAACGGCCAAAACUGUACAAUUAAUUA
Andrographis paniculata is the source of this 836-nucleotide RNA transcript. It is a transcript of the gene named putative cytochrome c oxidase subunit 6b-like, with no coding region annotated. The record is from RefSeq and is a predicted model, not a curated record. NCBI's taxonomy places the organism in Eukaryota, Viridiplantae, Streptophyta, Magnoliopsida, Lamiales, Acanthaceae. The transcript has 5 exons.